Molecule: ribosomal RNA, 458 nt
Filed under: uncultured bacterium
Lineage: Bacteria
Description: partial 16S ribosomal RNA
Rfam family: Bacterial small subunit ribosomal RNA
Source: RNAcentral
CCUACGGGUGGCUGCAGUGAGGAAUAUUGGUCAAUGGGCGCGAGCCUGAACCAGCCAAGUAGCGUGAAGGAUGACUGCCCUACGGGUUGUAAACUUCUUUUGUCGGGGAGCAAAAGACGCCACGCGUGGCGUUCCGAGAGUACCCGAAGAAAAAGCAUCGGCUAACUCCGUGCCAGCAGCCGCGGUAAUACGGAGGAUGCGAGCGUUAUCCGGAUUUAUUGGGUUUAAAGGGUGCGCAGGCGGAAGAUCAAGUCAGCGGUAAAAUUGAGAGGCUCAACCUCUUCGAGCCGUUGAAACUGGUUUUCUGGAGUGAGCGAGAAGUAGGCGGAAUGCGUGGUGUAGCGGUGAAAUGCAUAGAUAUGACGCAGAACUCCGAUUGCGAAGGCAGCAUACCGGCGCUCAACUGACGCUCAUGCACGAAAGUGUGGGUAUCGAACAGGAUUAGAUACCCCUGUGGU